CUGGAUUCCCUGAAACUUUCCAUUGCUUGAAAAUGAAAUGCAGUUUCUCACCGUGUUCAUUGGAAAUCAGCUGGGGAGAUUGCAGAGGGUGAUCACAUGAUCCUGGGACAUUGCAGCUGUCAUAAAUACAUUCCGGUUGUCAAGCACCUGAAUCAUGAUCACGAGACCGUGGGAUCACGAGACUAUAAGAGUUCUAAAAAACCACAACAACAGGUUUAGAGACGACUUACCCAAAGGGUCUCUGGAUUAAGGCUGGAUGGAGCUGUUGAAC
Long non-coding RNA from Thamnophis elegans (Western terrestrial garter snake), 271 nucleotides. RefSeq lists it as uncharacterized. NCBI's taxonomy places the organism in Eukaryota, Metazoa, Chordata, Lepidosauria, Squamata, Natricidae. The record is from RefSeq and is a predicted model, not a curated record. The transcript has 3 exons.